GACGAACGCUGGCGGCGUGCCUAAUACAUGCAAGUCGAACGCACUCUCGUUUAGAUUGAAGGAGCUUGCUCCUGAUUGAUAAACAUUUGAGUGAGUGGCGGACGGGUGAGUAACACGUGGGUAACCUGCCCUAAAGUGGGGGAUAACAUUUGGAAACAGAUGCUAAUACCGCAUAAAACCUAACACCGCAUGGUGUAGGGUUGAAAGAUGGUUUCGGCUAUCACUUUAGGAUGGACCCGCGGUGCAUUAGUUAGUUGGUGAGGUAAAGGCUCACCAAGACCGUGAUGCAUAGCCGACCUGAGAGGGUAAUCGGCCACACUGGGACUGAGACACGGCCCAGACUCCUACGGGAGGCAGCAGUAGGGAAUCUUCCACAAUGGACGAAAGUCUGAUGGAGCAACGCCGCGUGAGUGAAGAAGGUUUUCGGAUCGUAAGACUCUGUUGUUGGAGAAGAUGUAUCUGAUAGUAACUGAUCAGGUAGUGACGGUAUCCAACCAGAAA
This 501-nucleotide ribosomal RNA is filed under the name uncultured bacterium. RNAcentral describes it as "bacterial SSU rRNA". It matches the Rfam family "Bacterial small subunit ribosomal RNA", at positions 28 to 489 of the family's 1533-position model. The record is from RNAcentral.